This 460-nucleotide ribosomal RNA is filed under the name uncultured bacterium. RNAcentral describes it as "partial 16S ribosomal RNA". It matches the Rfam family "Bacterial small subunit ribosomal RNA", at positions 338 to 795 of the family's 1533-position model. The record is from RNAcentral.
CCUACGUGCGGCAGCAGUGAGGAAUAUUGGUCAAUGGACGAGAGUCUGAACCAGCCAAGUAGCGUGAAGGAUGACUGCCCUACGGGUUGUAAACUUCUUUUACAUGGGAAUAACACAGUGUAUUCAUACCCGUUUGUAUGUACCAUAUGAAUAAGGGUCGGCUAAUUCCGUGCCAGCAGCCGCGGUAAUUCGGAGGACCCGAGCGUUAUCCGGAUUUAUUGGGGUUAAAGGGAGCGUAGGUGGAUUGUUAAGUCAGUUGUGAAAGUUUGCGGCUCAACCGGACACUUGCAGUUGAAACUGGAAGUCUUGAGUUCAGUAGAGGCAGGCGGAAUUCGUGGUGUAGCGGUGAAAUGCUUAGAUAUCACGAAGAACUCCGAUUGCGAAGGCAGCUCACUGGACUGCAACUGACACUGAGGCUCGAAGGUGUGGGUAUCAAACAGGAUUAGAUACCCUGGUAGUC